RNA transcript from Gastrolobium bilobum, 979 nucleotides. RefSeq lists it as uncharacterized. The record is from RefSeq and is a predicted model, not a curated record. NCBI's taxonomy places the organism in Eukaryota, Viridiplantae, Streptophyta, Magnoliopsida, Fabales, Fabaceae. The transcript has 4 exons.
CUCAAAACACACCUCCUCCUCAUCCCUCCGUACAUCCUAAUCCCACAAUGGGCUCAGAAAUGCCCAAUUUAACUUUGGGCUUUUCUCGGCCCAGUCCAAUGCCAUCCACCAUUCUUUAAAAAUUAAAAAAAGAACUAUGCUUCAAACUUCAAUUCAACUAAUACGAAUGGCAUUGGCAUCAGCUACGGUUACAAUCUCGCGUUCGCUGAUUCAGCCACGACCUAUAUUCCUUGCGUAUCGGAACAACCACGCUACUUCUAGAAUCUUCCAAUUCCGUUACACUCGUCUUGGACGUUCUCUCUCCGCCAUGACCUCGCCUCAAGCUGCUUCCUCGGACUCCACGAACUCGUCUUCUACCAAAACGGAGAGGGUGGUGAUAAAGGGGAGGGUGCAGGGAGUGUGGUACAGGAACUGGACCAUCGAGAAUGCGACGUCGUUGGGGCUGAAGGGAUGGGUGCGCAACCGAAAGGAUGGGUCCGUGGAGGCUCUGUUCUCAGGGAGCACCGAUGCGGUUCAGGAAAUGGAGCAGAGGUGUCGCCGUGGUCCUCCCGAUGCCGUCGUCACGGGGAUUGAGGUUUUCCCCGGCGACGAUGACCCUGGCACUGGUUUCCAACGCAAACCAACUAUUUGAUCGAUCGUUAAUCAAUCAAUCAAUACUGGUGCCAGAUGAUGUUAUGGAAGGAUUUGCUGUUCUUGCUAUCAUGGGACUGCGGAGUGGGUGAAAGAAGUGUGUGGCUUCAAACAGAAGGGAGAUCUGUUAAUUCCGUGCUAUCCUUAAGGACUAUAGAAGAUAAUAGGUGAACAAAGGACGGAGAGAUGGAAGCAAUUCUGUUUUCCAGCCACAGGCCCAUGAGUGCAGCAUGCAUAUGAUUAUGCUGAAUGUAUUUUUUAGCGUAGUUUUUGUAUGUAGCGCGGUUUACUGCGAUUAACAUAAGAUCGGAAAGAAACUUGUUGAACUUAUGCAAAUUAAUAGAUUCAA